AGCUUUGUGCAGUGGCAGUAUCAUAGCCAAUGAGGUUUAUCCGAGGCACGAUUAUUGCUAAUUGAAAACUAAAAUGUUGGCCAAAGUAGGAAUAGAAGGGACCUUUCUUAAUCUAGUAAAGGAUAUCUAUC
Molecule: small nuclear RNA, 131 nt
Filed under: Cervus elaphus hippelaphus
Lineage: Eukaryota; Metazoa; Chordata; Mammalia; Artiodactyla; Cervidae
Also listed under: 1 other name
Description: U4 spliceosomal RNA
Rfam family: U4 spliceosomal RNA
About the family: U4 small nuclear RNA (U4 snRNA) is a component of the major U2-dependent spliceosome. The structure of U4 snRNA from yeast and human has been reported.
Source: Rfam by way of RNAcentral